AGUGAACGCUGGCGGUAGGCCUAACACAUGCAAGUCGAACGGCAGCACAGUAAGAGCUUGCUCUUACGGGUGGCGAGUGGCGGACGGGUGAGGAAUACAUCGGAAUUUACUUUUUCGUGGGGGAUAACGUAGGGAAACUUACGCUAAUACCGCAUACGACCUACGGGUGAAAGCAGGGGAUCUUCGGACCUUGCGCGAUUGAAUGAGCCGAUGUCGGAUUAGCUAGUUGGCGGGGUGAAGGCCCACCAAGGCGACGAUCCGUAGCUGGUCUGAGAGGAUGAUCAGCCACACUGGAACUGAGACACGGUCCAGACUCCUACGGGAGGCAGCAGUGGGGAAUAUUGGACAAUGGGCGCAAGCCUGAUCCAGCCAUACCGCGUGGGUGAAGAAGGCCUUCGGGUUGUAAAGCCCUUUUGUUGGGAAAGAAAAGCAGCAGGUUAAUACCCCGCUGUUCUGACGGUACCCAAAGAAUAAGCACCGGCUAACUUCGUG
This 492-nucleotide ribosomal RNA is filed under the name uncultured bacterium. RNAcentral describes it as "partial 16S ribosomal RNA". It matches the Rfam family "Bacterial small subunit ribosomal RNA", at positions 29 to 507 of the family's 1533-position model. The record is from RNAcentral.